AGAGUUUGAUCCUGGCUCAGGACGAACGCUGGGGCGUGCCUAACACAUGCAAGUCGAGCGGAGAUAUUAGCAAUAAUAUCUUAGCGGCGGACGGGUGAGUAACGCGUGGGUAACCUGCCUUUCACAGGGGGAUAACACCGGGAAACUGGUGCUAAUACCGCAUAACGUAUGACCAUGGCAUCAUGGAUGUACCAAAGGAGCAAUCCGGUGAGAGAUGGACCCGCGUCCAAUUAGCUAGUUGGUGGUGUAAUGGACCACCAAGGCGACGAUUGGUAGCCGAACUGAGAGGUUGAUCGGCCACAUUGGGACUGAGACACGGCCCAGACUCCUACGGGAGGCAGCAGUGGGGAAUAUUGCGCAAUGGGGGAAACCCUGACGCAGCAACGCCGCGUGAGUGAAGAAGGCCUUCGGGUUGUAAAGCUCUGUUGCCCGUGAAGAACGGUACUCUCAGGAAAUGGGGAGUACUUGACGGUAGCGGGUGAGGAAGCCCCGGCUAACUACGUGCCAGCAGCCGCGGUAAUACGUAGGGGGCGAGCGUUGUCCGGAUUUAUUGGGCGUAAAGGGCGUGUAGGCGGCCUGUUAAGUCAGGGGUGAAACUCCGCAGCUCAACUGCGGACCUGCCUCUGAUACUGGCGGGCUUGAGUACUCUAGAGGGCAGUGGAAUUCCCGGUGUAGCAGUGAAAUGCGUAGAGAUCGGGAGGAACACCAGUGGCGAAGGCGGCUGCCUGGGGAGAAACUGACGCUGAGGCGCGAAAGCUGGGGGAGCAAACGGGAUUAGAUACCCCGGUAGUCCCAGCCGU
RNAcentral lists this ribosomal RNA (800 nucleotides) under uncultured Eubacteriales bacterium. RNAcentral describes it as "bacterial SSU rRNA". It matches the Rfam family "Bacterial small subunit ribosomal RNA", at positions 8 to 803 of the family's 1533-position model. The record is from RNAcentral. Lineage: Bacteria; Bacillati; Bacillota; Clostridia; Eubacteriales.